UACGUAGGGUGCAAGCGUUAAUCGGAAUUACUGGGCGUAGAGCGUGCGCAGGCGGUUUUGUAAGUCAGAUGUGAAAUCCCCGGGCUUAACCUGGGAACUGCGUUUGAAACUACAAGGCUAGAGUGUGGCAGAGGGGGGUGGAAUUCCACGUGUAGCAGUGAAAUGCGUAGAGAUGUGGAGGAACACCGAUGGCGAAGGCAGCCCCCUGGGUUAACACUGACGCUCAGGCACGAAAGCGUGGGGAGCAAACAGG
RNAcentral lists this ribosomal RNA (253 nucleotides) under uncultured bacterium. RNAcentral describes it as "partial 16S ribosomal RNA". It matches the Rfam family "Bacterial small subunit ribosomal RNA", at positions 524 to 776 of the family's 1533-position model. The record is from RNAcentral.